GCCAGGUGUGGUGGCUCAUUCCUGUAAUCCCAGCACUUUGGGAGGCUGAGGCAGGAGGAUCACUUGAGCCCAGGAGUUCAGGACCAGCCUGGGCAAUAUAGUGAGACUCUGUCUCUA
RNAcentral lists this non-coding RNA (117 nucleotides) under Theropithecus gelada (gelada). Lineage: Eukaryota; Metazoa; Chordata; Mammalia; Primates; Cercopithecidae. The record is from Rfam by way of RNAcentral.